CUACGUAGCUCAGAGUUUGUAUCCUGGCUCAGGAUGAACGCUAGCGGCAGGCCUAAUACAUGCAAGUCGAACGGUAAAUGCCCCUUCGGGGAUAUGAGAGUGGCGCACGGGUGCGUAACGCGUAUGCAACCUACCCAAUGCUGGCGGAUAGCCCGAAGAAAUUCGGAUUAACCCGUCAUGAGGAGCUGAAUGGGCAUCCAUAUGGUUUCAAAUAUUUAUAGGCGUUGGAUGGGCAUGCGUGCUAUUAGAUAGUUGGCGGGGUAACGGCCCACCAAGUCGACGAUAGCUAGGGGAUCUGAGAGGACGGUCCCCCACACUGGUACUGAGACACGGACCAG
RNAcentral lists this ribosomal RNA (338 nucleotides) under uncultured bacterium. RNAcentral describes it as "bacterial SSU rRNA". It matches the Rfam family "Bacterial small subunit ribosomal RNA", at positions 1 to 334 of the family's 1533-position model. The record is from RNAcentral.